RNAcentral lists this unclassified non-coding RNA (317 nucleotides) under Hevea brasiliensis (rubber tree). Lineage: Eukaryota; Viridiplantae; Streptophyta; Magnoliopsida; Malpighiales; Euphorbiaceae. The record is from RNAcentral.
GUUUGCUUUGCUUGAUAACACUAUUAGUAAAGAGAUGGGACUAGGUUUUGGGCUUGAUUUGUGAGAGGAAGGUGGGUGUGUGUAUAUCGGUAAAAAAAGAGAGGGGAGAAUGCAAUUAGGUACUGUUGAGGGUUGCGAUAGGAGAAAGGCAGAGGUUUACCUUAAGGGCUAGAGCGGUGUCAUUUUAGAGUUUCUUUGAGAGUUAUUUAUUUUUAAUUUUUUUUAAUUAUCUUCCCUCCUAACUAGAGAAAUAGCAUGGUAUUUAUAGGGAAAAAUAAAACCUAAAAUAAAAGGUCUAGGAUUUAAGAAACCAAAAU